AUGAUGACAUCUAUUGCCCAAGUCUUAACACAUUCACCAUGUUAAGUUUUCCUCCAAGUCGUGGAUUCUAACUGCUGUUCUCACUGAUUCUGUAAACUUUAGUCUCUUUGGAGAUUGGCCUGAUAUCUUCCCCAUUUAUUCUCUGUGCUGUUGCUGAAAAAUCUCACAGCUUGACUCUGGUGUAACUCUUCUCUCAUAAGAGAAACUCCAAGCGGCUCUGCAGAAACUGAGGAAGAAGUAGCAGGAAGCUGAGAUGUUGGAAGCUGUCAUCAGAGAAGAGAAUACUUUCUGCAAGGUAGGAGGAGAUACCUCCUGAGGAAGUUAGAUAAAAACAUAGACGGGACCUUGAGUGUUAGUCACAGGAGCUCCCUUCCUUUUUGUUCCCUGAGAGUCGAUAUGUCCAGAGGUCAUUUGGUUAGUCCUCUUCUUUUAUCCUUUCCCCAAUAAAGGUGAAGGCUGAAAAGUGAACAUGUUAUAAAUGAACAGAUGUUGAGAGGGAGAUAUUCGCAUAGAGGGUGGCUAGUAAAUUUUAUGUUACAUUCCUGAUGUGAUUUUGAGUCUUUUCUCUUCUGAGGGAAAGACAAUUAGCAAUGACUCAUGGUUCUGUCUGCAUUGCUCAACUUUCAGCUGAGGGUGAGGGGAUAGGGGUCAGGAAUAAAGCAAGGAGACUUGGUUGUCCUGGAAAGCUGUGUGAAAGCUGAGCCACAUACACCCAAGGAUCCUAUCUGGGUCAGGGUUGGCCUCAAUAAUGCAAACUUGAAGCCAUUAUUUUGAAAUGCGAUGGAGAAAAAAAAAAAAAAAAAGGAAGAGUUAGCUUCCCCACAAGUUGCUCCCUUGCUUCUCUCUCAUUUCCCUUUGAGAACUUUUCAAGGAAAAUAGUUCUCUUUCUAGCUCUCAGUCUCUGCCUGAUAGCCUGAGUAUCUCUCUCUCUUUCUCAUUCCAAAGAAUCAAAUGCAAAAUGAGAAAAGGCUUGUCUAGGCACAGUUUAAAAAACUAAAGACUAUCCUGGAGCAUGAGGAACUGAGGAUGGUGCAGAAGCUGCAGUGCCAGGAGAAUGCUGUUCUCAAUACCCAGGGUACAUCAUGCAUUGGUGAUGAGCUGGUCCAGCAAAGCCAGAUGUAAGAGACCUGAUCUCGGUUCUGGAGCAUCAGCUUCAGGGGUCAACAGUAAACAUGCAGCAUGUAAGACUCCAGAAAAAGCCCCAACAUCUAGGAUUUGAGAAAAAUGAAGACCAAGUUUCCUUCUCUCCUCUCCCAUGGUGCUUUGCUCUUCCUGGUGAUGACACUAAGUUUCCCUUGGCCUUGCGGUGCCUCUUUCCUGUAUCUAUGUCAGAGGUUAUAAGGAUAAAUAACAAGGGACAAUCUCAUAUUUUUUUUUCAUCAAGUGCAGUACAGAGAUCUGAUUGUGGCGAGAAUUUGCAUUGUAUCCAGGGAAGUCUAGAGGCCUCUAUGAACAGUGACCUAGUGCUAAAGACUACCAGGUUCCUCUUCAUGAUUCAGCUUGGUCACAGAUAGAUGAACUUCACAUUCUAAGACUUUUUUUUUUCCCUCAUAGGAUAAACUAAGGUUUUUUUUCUUCCUCUUUUUCCAUUUUCUGAAAAACAAACAAACAAAAAACAAAUUGUGAAGGACUAGUAUUACUUAUUCUUUAAAUAUUCAAUAGAAUUUGCCAGUAGAACUAUCUCAUUCUAGGCUUUUCUUUUUCAAAAGGUUUAAAAUACUUUUUAAAAAUAUGUAUUAGGUUUAUUUACAUUUUUUACCAUUCUUAAGUCAGGUGCGGUUUUUUGUUGUUGUUUGUUUUUUGUUUGUUUGUUUGUUUUGUUUUUUGCUUUUUAAAGAUUUUGAGAGAUUGAGCACAAAUGGGGAGGUGAGGGAGAAGCAGGCUCCCCUCGAACAGGGACCCCAAUGCAGGGCUUGAUCCCAGGAUCCCUGGCCCAUGACCCAAGCCAAAGGUAGACUUAACUGACUGAGCCACUGAGGUACCCCUUAAGUCAGGUUUUGAUAAUAAAUGUCUUUGUAGGGAUUUGUCCACUCCAAGUUGUCUCAUUUGUAGAUAUAAGGUAGUCACAAUAAUCCUUUAUAAUCCCUCUGAUUUCUACAGCACACACAGUAAUGUCCACUCUUUUAUACCUGGUUUUGGUGAUGUGCUUUUUCUCUCUCUCUUUUUUUUUUUUCUUGGACAGUUCAGUUGUCUUUGGUCAAUUUUAUUGAUUUUCUUCAAGAACAAACUUUAUUAUUUCAUCAACUUUUUAAAUCUUUCUAUAUCAUUUGUGUCUGCUCUCAUCUUCAUUGUUUCCUUUGUAUAAGUGUGACUGCACACAUGAACAUGAAUUUGUGCAUGGAUGAACAUGAAUGUGUGUGCAUGCAUGAACACAAGUGUGUGUAUGUAUGCAUAUAUGAACAUGAGUGUGUGUGUAUGUGUGUGUGUGUGUGUAUUGGGUUUAAUUUGCCAUUCUUUGUCUAGUUUCUUAAAGUGAAAACUUUAAUUAUUUAUUUGAGGUGAUCUUUUCUGAUAUAGUAUUUAAUGAUAUAAAUGCAAUGAUUUAGGUAUAUUCCAUAUAUUUUGAUUGAUUAGUUGUUAUUUUCAUUUAGUUCUACUUAUUUUCUAAUUUCUUUUGUGAUUCUUUUUUUUUUUUUUUUUUUUGGUUAACCCUUGGGAAUAUUUGAAAGUGUGCUUUUUAUCUAUUUUAUAAAAAUGUUUUUAUUUAAAUUCCGGUUAAUUAACAUACAGUGUCAUAUUAGUUUCAGGUGUACAAUAUAGUGAUUCAAAACUUCCAUACAACAUCUAGUGCUCAUCACACUCCUUAAUCCCCAUCACCUAUUUAUUCUAUCCCCCAUUCACCUCCUCUCUGAUAACCACUAGUUUGUUCUCUAUAAUUAAGAGUCUGUUUCUUGAUUUGCCUCUUUUAUUCCCCUUUGCUCAUUUUUUUCUUAAAUUCUACAUGAGUGAAAUCAUGAUAUUUGCCUUUCUUUGACUGACUUAUUUCACUUAGCAUAAUACUCUCUAGCUCUAUUCUUUUUUUAUGACUAAUAUUCCAUGGUGUGUGUGUGUGUGUGUGUGUGUGUGUGUGUGUGAGUGAGAUAUAUACUACAUCUUCUUUAUCAUUCAUCAGUUGAAGGACACUUGUGCUGUUUCUUAACUUGGCCAUUGCAGAUAAUGCUACUGGAAACAUUGGGGUGCAUGUAUCCCUUUGAAUUAGUAUUUUUGUAUUCUUUGGGUAAAUACUUAGAAAGCGUGCAGCUUAAUUUAACAACACUUGAUUUCUUAUAUUUUCUUCUGUGGAUUUCUUUUUUUUUUUUUUUUAAAGAUUCUAUUUAUUUGUUCAUGAGAGACACAGAGAGAGAGGCAGAGACAUAGGCAGAGGGAGAAGUGGGCUCCCUGCAGGGAUCCGAUGCAGUACUCAAUCCCAGACCCCAGGAUCAUGCCCUGAGCUGAAGGCAGACACUCAACCACUGAGCCACCCAGGCUUCUCUGCUGUGGAUUUAAAAUUUAAUUUCUUUGUAAUCAGAAAACACAUAUUUUAUUAUUUCACUAUUUAAAUGUAUUGAUAAUUGUUUUAUGGACUAUAAUAUUGUAUGUCCAGAAAAUUUUUCUAUGCAAAUUUGAGAAGAAUGUGUAUUCUUCAUUUAUUAGAUAAAAUGGUUUAUUAGUUAGAUUAUUAUUAGUUAUUAUUAUUAGUUAGAUUAUUAUUAUUAGUUAGAUCAAAUUGGUUAAUAAUAUCAUCUAUGUCUUCUGUAUCUUUGAUGAUGUUCAUACAAGCUAUUUUAUCAAUUAUUGAGAGUGAGCUACUAAAUUGUCUAUUUUUCUUUUUAUUCCUUUCAAUUUUGCUUUGUGUAUUUUGAAACUCUGCUGUUGAGUAAAUUUACAUUUAUAAUUGUUAUAUCCCUUCUUGAUCUACUGAACCUUUUAUCAUUCUGAAAUUUCCCUCUCAUUCUCUCAUAAUAUUUAUUGUCAUAAAGUCUAUUUUGUCUAAUAUUAAUAUAGACACAAGCUUUUUUAUGAUUACUGCUUGCACGGUGUAUAUUUUUCUAUCUUUUUCCUUUCCUGUAUUUGUGUCUCUGGAUCCAAAAUAUGUCUCUUGUAGAUAGCAACAGUUGAAUCUUGCCUUUUAUCUAGUCCAAUGAUCAUUGCUUUUUAAUAGGGGUAAUAAGACAGUAACAUGUAGCAUAAUUGUUGAUGUGGCUGUAUUUACAUUUAUCAUAUUUAUCAUAUUGCUUUUUUUCCAUAUGUUGCCUGCAGUUUUCAUUGUCUUUUCUCCUUAACUUGCCUUGUUUGAGUUAAACAAAUAUUUCUUUUCUUUUUAAAAGGGGGGGGCCAAAUUACUUUAUUAUUUAAAAAUUUGAGUACAACCAAUUUUAUUGGCAUUAAAAUUAGAGGUAUCUUAAAUUUGAAUGAAUAAACCAAAAACCAGAAAUUAAGUUUGGUAAAAAUGGGAAUAGUUUUCCAGUAAUUACAGAUUAGAAGGCAGAAAUCAAUUUAGAGAAAUAUAGACAAACCCCAUGUUUACAAUGAUUGUGCCACAGAUUUAAACUUCAGUAGUGCAUUAGUAAACUGUUCACAUUUAGAUCUUCACCUUGAGAUAGCUGUUCCUUUAAAAAAAAUCUCAGUACCUUGUGCAAAUAAAUCGGUCUUCCAUAUGCCUUAGCACACUUAAAAUUUCUCCAUCGUAUGUAUACAAAACACCUACCGUUCGGCAGGGCAAAAUACAUACUUUCAUAACAAAACUAUAAUGUACGUCUCAAGUAUGAACAAUAUACACAUAAUACAUGGUAUACAGUAUUUACAAAAUAUAAAAUAUAAUACAAGUUGUUGGUUGUAAUUUUUUCAACUCAUCUUUUGCACUUGUAAGUUACAAGGCAAAUUUUCAUUUCUGUACCAAUUCUCUUUUCAAGAGUCCAGAGAUUUUGGAAACUGACAGACAUUGCAAUCUGAGAUCUAAGUUUGAACUUUUAGGAGAGUUUUUAAGUAUACCGCCAUCAACUCCCUAUUUUGGUUGGAAUUUUCAAUAGUGCUUCCCAUCCAGUGACUAGGAGGCUUUGGAAGAACACUGGGAGAAGGUGGAUCACUAAACUUUGCCCCAGCACACUUUUCCUUUUGGCUCACUUCAGUUAGAAAUGCUGAUUUCUUCAAAUGCAUAUUUUUAAUAUUCUCAGUGUUUUUAAAAGGCUUUUUUUUUUUCCUGCUUCUGAAUUAAAGCGGAUGAAACAGAAUCCUGCCAAAAGUUAUUUCCAUUUCUUUUUGCAGAGGUGAUCUCGGCUAAUGGUAAGUUAUAUUUGCUUUUCUGUCUGUUUAUCUUUGGUUGUUCACACAAGUGUAUACCAUGAACAAGCUGGCCGUGGCGAAUGGCAAUUUUCUCCGAUUUUCCCAUCUUUGAUCUUAAAACCUCUCUUCUGAACGAGGGUUGGCCGGGCGCCGGGGCGGCAGCGGGCCAGGGAACGGGCUCGCUUCCUCAGGUUGGGCUGCCCCGCGGGCACUGGGUGUUAUUCUGUAUGUUGGUAAAUUGAACACCAAUAAAAAAUUAAUUUAUUAAAAAAAAAACAUAAAAAAAAAAAAA
This 5554-nucleotide long non-coding RNA is filed under the name Canis lupus familiaris (dog). RNAcentral's name for it is "lncRNA (ENSCAFG00000051465.1)". The record is from RNAcentral. Lineage: Eukaryota; Metazoa; Chordata; Mammalia; Carnivora; Canidae.